This 395-nucleotide transfer-messenger RNA is filed under the name human gut metagenome. It matches the Rfam family "transfer-messenger RNA". From Rfam's summary of the family: Bacterial tmRNA, also known as 10Sa RNA or SsrA, is named for its dual tRNA and mRNA-like properties. The record is from RNAcentral.
GACCGGAUUUGACAGCGGACUUGGGCGGUCAGUAAGCAUGCAGUGCGGACGGGAGCGGGCACUCAAAACUCGGCUCUCAGACAAUUUAACUGGCGAAAACAACUACGCUCUCGCUGCUUAAUCGAAGUACAGUAGAUUAACUUUAUUCCGGCACCAGGUGCUGGAACGAGACAUCUCCCCGAAGCCGUUCUUCCCGAGGCUCGCGGAACCGGAGGUGCAGCAAAAUCGGGAAUAGCCUGCGGCGGCCUCGCACCGCAGACGAAAAUCGAAGAGGAUAAGGCAGCGCUUGGUGGCUCCGGUCUUGGCACUGCACGAAAACGAAGACGGAGAUAAGCAUGUAGAAAGCCGAUGGUCUUUCCGUUUGGACGAGGGUUCAACUCCCUCCUGGUCCACCA